Molecule: ribosomal RNA, 459 nt
Filed under: uncultured Lysobacterales bacterium
Lineage: Bacteria; Pseudomonadati; Pseudomonadota; Gammaproteobacteria; Lysobacterales
Description: bacterial SSU rRNA
Rfam family: Bacterial small subunit ribosomal RNA
Source: RNAcentral
ACGGAAGGCAGCAGUGGGGAAUAUUGGACAAUGGGGGCAACCCUGAUCCAGCGACGCCGCGUGUGUGAAGAAGGCCUGCGGGUUGUAAAGCACUUUUAGUGGGGAUGAAAAGCACAUUGCUAAUACCAGUGUGUCUUGACCUAACCCAAAGAAAAAGCACCGGCUAACUCUGUGCCAGCAGCCGCGGUAAUACAGAGGGUGCGAGCGUUAAUCGGAAUUACUGGGCGUAAAGCGUGCGUAGACGGUUAUUUAAGUCGGGUGUGAAAGCCCCGGGCUCAACCUGGGAAUUGCAUUCGAGACUGAAUAGCUAGGGUACGGUAGAGGGAAGUGGAAUUUCCGGUGUAGCGGUGAAAUGCGUAGAUAUCGGAAGGAACAUCAGUGGCGAAAGCGACUUCCUGGACCAGUACCGACGUUCAGGCACGAAAGCGUGGGGAGCAAACAGGAUUAGAUACCCUGGUA